Stegodyphus mimosarum is the source of this 63-nucleotide non-coding RNA. NCBI's taxonomy places the organism in Eukaryota, Metazoa, Arthropoda, Arachnida, Araneae, Eresidae. The record is from Rfam.
UAAAGUGAUAUGAUAAUUAUUACUUAAAUCUUAAUCGGAGGUAAUAGUUGGAUGACUGCUAUA